UACGUAGGUGGCAAGCGUUGUCCGGAAUUAUUGGGCGUAAAGGGCUCGCAGGCGGUUCCUUAAGUCUGAUGUGAAAGCCCCCGGCUCAACCGGGGAGGGUCAUUGGAAACUGGGAGACUUGAGUGCAGAAGAGGAGAGUGGAAUUCCAUGUGUAGCGGCGAAAUGCGUAGAUAUAUGGAGGAACACCAGUGGCGAAGGCGGCUCUCUGGUCUGUAACUGACGCUGAGGCUCGAAAGCGUGGGGAGCAAACAGG
RNAcentral lists this ribosomal RNA (253 nucleotides) under uncultured bacterium. RNAcentral describes it as "partial 16S ribosomal RNA". It matches the Rfam family "Bacterial small subunit ribosomal RNA", at positions 524 to 776 of the family's 1533-position model. The record is from RNAcentral.